GACAAUUGAAUGGCCGCGGUAACACUGACCGUGAUAAUGUAGCGUAAUCACUAGCCAAUUAAUUGUUGGCCAGUAUGAAUGGCGCCACGAAGGCCCCACUGUCUUAAGGAAAUUCCCAGUGAAAUUGAAUUCGUAGUGAAGAUGCUACGUCCAAUUUGUUAGACGAAAAGACCCCGUUGAGCUUUACUGGGGCACUUACACGGCCCUGGCCUUCAAGCCUAAGUGUGAUAGGCCAAGGUUUAUCGCACCUAGGAGUUGGCCGAAUUUAAAUGGGUGGCUUAGACUAUGUGGCAGCCCCCCGUCGGGGCAGAUGAAACUCCACUCCCCCAUGUCAAAGGGGCUAACCCUCUCCUCUUGGGAGGGGAGACAAUGUAAGUAGGACAGUUUGGUUGGGGCGACCGCCUUUUAAAUAGUAACGAAAGUGCGCUUAAGUGUGUAAUUAAUGACUGAAGCCUGACUGCGAGGGGGACACCCCGAGCAGACACCCCCAAGCCCGCCCGGGAGGGCGGCGAUGGGGUGGGCCAUAGUGACCCGUU
Molecule: ribosomal RNA, 536 nt
Filed under: Antipathozoanthus obscurus
Lineage: Eukaryota; Metazoa; Cnidaria; Anthozoa; Zoantharia; Parazoanthidae
Description: partial 16S ribosomal RNA
Rfam family: Bacterial large subunit ribosomal RNA
Source: RNAcentral